Molecule: ribosomal RNA, 449 nt
Filed under: uncultured bacterium
Lineage: Bacteria
Description: SSU rRNA
Rfam family: Bacterial small subunit ribosomal RNA
Source: RNAcentral
AGGAUGAACGCUGGCGGUCUGCUUAACACAUGCAAGUCGAACGGAGUACCUCGGUACUUAGUGGCGGACGGGUGAGUAACGCGUGAGAAUCUGCCCUUAGGUCGGGGACAACCAUUGGAAACGAUGGCUAAUACCGGAUAAGCCGAGAGGUAAAAGAUUAAUUGCCUAGGGAAGAGCUCGCGUCUGAUUAGCUAGUUGGUGAGGUAAAGGCUCACCAAGGCAUCGAUCAGUAGCUGGUCUGAGAGGAUGAUCAGCCACACUGGGACUGAGACACGGCCCAGACUCCUACGGGAGGCAGCAGUGAGGAAUUUUCCGCAAUGGGCGAAAGCCUGACGGAGCAAUGCCGCGUGGAGGAUGAAAGCCUAUGGGUUGUAAACUCCUUUUAUCAGAGAAGAAAUAUUGACAGUAUCUGGGGAAUAAGCAUCGGCUAACUCCGUGCCAGCAGCCGC